Molecule: microRNA precursor, 74 nt
Organism: Colobus angolensis palliatus
Lineage: Eukaryota; Metazoa; Chordata; Mammalia; Primates; Cercopithecidae
Source: Ensembl
GCUCUAGCCUAUUUUUAGACCUGGUCUGCUUCAGUUUCACUCCAAGCAGACUAGACCUACAAUUAGCCUUGAGC